AUGAUCUUCGGGUCGGGGCUGAAUCUCCUCAGCGCGGCGCUCGGUUUCGGCAUGACCGCCGUCUUCGUCGCGUUCGUCUGCGCGCGGUUCAUCUGCUGCCGCGCCCGGGGCGUGGACGACGGCGCCCCGACGCCGGUGGACUUUGACGUUGACUUCCCGGCAGAUCUCGAACGCCCGGUAGAGGAUGCUAAUUGUGGGUUGGAACCUUUGGUUAUUGCUGCAAUUCCUAUUAUGAAGUACUCUGAGGCUUUAUAUUCGAAGGAUGAUGCCCAGUGCUCCAUAUGUCUAGGUGAAUACACUGAGAAAGAGCUUUUAAGAAUCAUUCCGACAUGUCAACAUAACUUUCACCGUACCUGCUUAGACUUAUGGUUGCAGAAGCAGACUACUUGCCCAAUAUGCCGGGUCUCGUUGAAAGAGUUGCCUAGCGGCAAAGCUGCCAUAGCACCUUCAUGUAGCAACCCUCAAGUGCGCCCCCGCACUGAGAACUCUGUUAAUCCAGCACCUGACUGGCUCCCCCCUGUUCAUCAUUCUCACAGAGGUCAACAGAAUAGUUCAGACACACAAGGAUCAGUAGAAGUGGUUAUUGAGAUACGCCAAUAA
Molecule: ribosomal RNA, 600 nt
Filed under: Triticum aestivum (bread wheat)
Lineage: Eukaryota; Viridiplantae; Streptophyta; Magnoliopsida; Poales; Poaceae
Description: partial small subunit ribosomal RNA
Source: RNAcentral